Marmota monax (woodchuck) is the source of this 1712-nucleotide long non-coding RNA. RefSeq lists it as uncharacterized. Lineage: Eukaryota; Metazoa; Chordata; Mammalia; Rodentia; Sciuridae. The record is from RefSeq and is a predicted model, not a curated record. The transcript is spliced from 2 exons.
UUGUCAGAGAGCCAGGUUGGGGAGGAAGGGGUGCAUUUGAGGGAGAAGGACACGUGGGGGUGGCCUUGAGGUCCCCCUGAGGUUCAGAAUCUGGAACUGAAAGUGAGACCAGGCCAGGACACAGCUGCCUGGAGAAGACGACAGGCCAGGUGUAAACAGGGCUCAGGUGCAAGGCUGACCCAGAGCAGAUGAAGUUGACCUCAUGGACUACCUGGGGCUAAGGGACAGGGCUCUCGUUUUGUCUGGGCUCCUCCUGAAGACUACCAUGUGUAUCCUUAUGCUGGCCCUGGGCUCAGAACUGGGGUCAGCAGGGCUCCACCCUCCAAAGACACUGAAAAAGGCUGAGGCUGGAGCGGGCAGAUGGGCCUUGGGUGGCAGCAGGAUCAGCCAAUCAGUCUGACAGGAGUUGAAGUUGGAGCCUGCCAUGCUUGACUGAGAAAUUUCAGCUGGAUGAGGAUGAGCCCUCAACAGGGUUAAAGGAGGUAGAGGAAUCCCUAAGGUCAGGGUAUCAAAGGGAGAAGUGGGUUUAGGGAGGUGGUGAUAUGUGCCAGUUGGGCCCUGGGCACAACUGGAGGUGGAGGCAGAGCUGGAGGCUGAAGAUCAUGGCUAUGGAGCACGUAAAGCAUGGAGAGUAGCCAUCCUUCAAGGAGGGGGAAGGCAUGGUGUUGUGGGAAGGACAGUGAAUACCGAGGUCUUGCAAAUGCACAUGACUGUGUGCAGUGGUCCAAGCCUGUAAUCCCAGUGAUUUGGGAGGCUGAGGCAGGAGGAUCCUAAGUUCGAGGCCAACCUUAGCAACUUAGCAAGACUCUGUCUCAAAAUAAAAAGGGCUGAGGAUGGAGCUCAGUGGCAGAGAACCUCUGGGUUCAACCCCUAGUACCAACCUCUACACCCCUCCAAAAAAUGGACAUGGGAUCAGUGCAGAAAACAGUAGUCAGGGACAGGAGCCAGGAUCUACCAGGAGCAAGUGAGCCUGUGAACACCCCUGGGGGCAUCAGGUGAGAAGCCCCCAGAUGGGGUUUUGCAGGGGUUGCACUGUGGGGCUGCGCUGAGGGAAAGGAUGGGAGGGUCUGGGCCUCACAGUGAGAGCAGCUCCAGGGGGAGAUGCAUGGAUGCAAAUGUCCAGCAGGGGGCGCUGGCACCUUGGAGGAGGAGAGACAGGCGGACCUCCGCGAGUUCCUGGGGAGCGGCGGAGGAGAAUCGCCACCCCUGCAGUACUCAAGGGUGCUCGCGUGACUCAGUUGUCAGAGUUGGCCGCUGCACUUUACAUUUGCAAAGCCCCACCCCAGAGACCAGGCGCCCAAAGUGGCAGGAGUGGGGCCUGGGGCUUGCUCCAUCUGCUGGGUCCUGCCACUGGACGCUACCCGCCUCGCACGAAUCAGAUGCUGAUGGAGAAGCUGGGCCUGUGGAGGAGCAGGGCAUCCUCUCCACGCUGCUCCUCCUGGCUGCUCAGUUGUGGUGAUGAUUUAGGACUUCAACGCUGAAGUGGACUCCACCUGGCCCAGCAGGGCCUGUACCCUGCCACACUUGGCCGUGUCUGCCAGCUCUGCUGUCUGCCAGCUCCACGGAAGGGCUCACACAGGCUGCAGGAGGUGGCGUGGGGGCCAGGGCAGAGAGCACCAAGCCUGACUCACCCAGGAAGGAAGGGGCCAGCCCGUGCCCACAGCCUGCUCUGUAACACCCCACCCCCACCCGCAAGUGUCAGCUUUCUUGCA